Molecule: long non-coding RNA, 3283 nt
Organism: Electrophorus electricus (electric eel)
Lineage: Eukaryota; Metazoa; Chordata; Actinopteri; Gymnotiformes; Gymnotidae
Source: RefSeq, a predicted model, not a curated record
UUCGCAGGGGUGGGAAAAUUACGUGCCGGUCGUGUUUGAUUCUUAAUUUCCCAGCGGUCCUUUGGAAUGCGAAAAUGGUUGCAUUUUUACGGGCUCAGUCCAAAAGAUGUUCCUGAUCCAAAGUUCGGAUUGUUUUGAUACAAUUUCCUGGUCCCCGUUGAGGGGGAAAAAAAAAAGCUGCUGGUCUCUAUGGACACUUUUAUGAGGGAAGCAUGUUCACUAAAAAGAUUGGUGGUUCCUAAUACGGGCACUUAAUUUUAAUGUGUCCCAGUUUUUGUUCGUUAAUAUCUCCGCCGUCAGUCGGAGGAGAGACUUGGGGGUGAUUGCUUUGGAAAAUUGGAUUUCUGGCAAAUUGGAUUUCUGGCGGCCGAUAUAUAAGCGUUCAAAGUCGGAUAGCCCUGUUGGUUUCUCAGAUCUGUUCCCUGAAAUUAACAUAGAGAGGCUUAUCAAUCAUACUGUUGAUUAUACAAUAGAAAGUCUUGUCAAUAUUAAGGUACACCAAUGUGAAGAUGCUACAGCCACUGUGAAUAAUGGCUUUUCUGUGUCAGUCUUCUAUCAGUAAAUUGGAGUUAUGUUUUAGCAUAAAUAAGGUCAGCAUUCGAUCAAUUUUCCAGCUUUCAUGUGGAAAUGGACAUUAGUACCUCUCUGCACAUGCCCUGGAGUACAUCAUAAUUUAUGCAUCAACACUAAAUACCAACCACAUCCUGAAAUCCAGCCAAGGGCAGUAUGGUGUUCCUGUGCCAGUCCAACUAAGCUGUCCGUGCUCGUGUGCAGGAAGUGCGAGAGGUGCAGAGAGUCGCCUGGUGGGGGUGGAGGUGGAGGUGGAGUCAGGCAAGCAGCAGGAGUUUGAGAGUAAACUGACAAGCAAUGCUGCAGCUCCACCAGGAGCAUGAAGGCCAGAUCCAGCAGUACAAGGAGCAGCUGGAGAGCACCUGUUAAUGGUAAGGUUUGGAGCAGCUGGAGAGCACCUGUUAAUGGUAAGGUUUGGAGCAGCUGGAGAGCACCUGUUAAUGGUAAGGUUUGGAGCAGCUGGAGAGCACCUGUUAAUGGUAAGGUUUGGAGCAGCUGGAGAGUAAAUGUUAAUGCUAAGGUAUGCCCAAACCCCUCUAAUUUGCAAUUGCUCAAGCAGAAAACACCUUCAGUAAACUCCCUUCUGUUUGAAGAUAACCAUCUGUUAAUUUCAUAUUUAAAAAUGGCAAAUAUGUUUAUGUAAUCAUUUUAUUGCUGUAUUUUUUUUCUUCCCAUUUUGUAUAUGAAAAUAGCUUUUUGGGUGUUUUUCCUGUAUUCCUUUACCUUCUGCAAUAUAUAUCCAAUUCAGUCUCAUAAUUUGCAUCGUUUAUGCAUUACAGUUGGACAUUGCCAAGCAGGUUGCGUUAAACAACAGUGAUUACGCCGCUUUAACCAGAAACGAACCGGAAGGUUGCCAAACUCAAGCUGGAGUCUCUGUCUGUGCAGAUCAGCCACCUGCAGAAAAAGUUGAUGCCAACCGGGUUCACACUUCAAGAAUGAUGCCACAUGAGCUGUGUGGUGGAGGCCCAGGAGCUGGAGCACACACUGGAGUGCGAGAGGGCACUGGUACACCAGAGGCUCUCGCAGAAAGAACAGGAGAUGUCUGACAUGGGGCAGCAGAUGCAGGCACAGCUGGAGGAGUAACAGUGCCUGCUGGAUGUCAAGCUCCUGCUGGACGUGGAGAUCACUGCCUACCACAAUAUGCUGGAGGGAGAAGAGCAGAAGUGAGGGGACGUCUGGAGGCAAAGUGCAGCGUUUUGUUUUAACCGCACUUGUCGCACAAAAAUACUCAACCUCUCCCCAAGUCCGUUUCAGCACGCGUAGUCGUCCCACAUCCAUACCCAGGCAGUGCGGAGAGCCAGGGACAAGAAACGGAAGCACGAAGAGGACUCGGGCUUCUCACCGAGCUACAAAGUGUCCCAGCAGUCUUCCACACGUGACUGUGUGUCUGUUGAUGAGAUCGAAGUCAAGCUUUAUAAGGCUCAGUAACAACUCCGACCUGGUACAACCUGCUCACAGGAGCCUGACUUGCUUGAGAACUUGUGCUGAAACUCGUGCGCGCUGUAGGUAUAACGGCAAAACAGCGCUCCAGUGGUUUCACGCACGUCUCACACACGUGGAGCGAUUCCAGUGGCUUUGAGGUGACGCUGGAGCUGGACCGAAGGCUUUUGAGCCGCCACACAUGGUAUUUAGUUUGACCAUUAAAGUGGUGUGAAGGGAACAACAGGGACAGUUUGAUAGGGUAAUGGUGGAGUUGUCAGACCGUUUUGUUUCAUCUUUCCAUCUUUCCUUUUGUUUUGAUCUUUUUUGUGUGUGUUUCGUGAAGUCCCAGUCUUGAAAAGUUGCCUCAGUCUUACAGUCCCAGUGUUUCUGCUGUGUCCCACAUUCUCCCCCCCACUCUGUCCCUCACACAGAGUGUAGAAGGUGUCUGGCUUUAGUCAGGGUGAAAAGUAUGUUCACUAACAGAUGUUCACCCCAACAAAAGUCCCUAUCUGGGUGGAAUUUUCCAACCAUAUAUCUUUCAUCCUGCAUCAGAAAUGAUUUCAGUUCUCAAACAAAACUGACCGACAGAUGAUUAGGAAAUGUGGAGAUAAUCAUCACAUUGUAUUGUGGGAGACAUCCCCGGAUUGUGACAUUGGGCCUGUGUUACGAGUUCUCACAGUGUUCAAUUUGCAUUUGUUUAUUUCAUGUGCAUUACAAGCUGUCCACAUAACCAGCACAUGCUGCACCUGGUUGACUGCUUUCUCCUGUUCCUGCUGAGUUCUAAACUCCUCCAGCUCCACCUUGCUCAGCAUCAGGUCCAGUGUAUGAGGGAACUCGUACUCCUUGCACUGUGGCGUGGUGCCUGGACACACUUACAUCAUUGCACUUUAAGGUUUAAAUUGAGAUGCAAUUAAACAACUGGAUGCCAGGGAGCUCAGUUCACCAGGUCCAUUUAAGACUUUUGCUUCGUGCAGUGGUUGCCCCAAAGCGGGAGAUUUCUGCAGCAUUGUCAACUGCUGCAGACAUGACUAUGUCCAUCAGGUCCAUGACCACACCCCUCACCUGUGGGCAGGUCCUGCUGCAGUUCAGUGUUGAGGAAGCUGGUGACUACGUCCACUGUCUGAGUGACGAGGGCGGACAGCUCCUCUCUAUGCUGCUGCAGGGAGGCCUGGUCUUUGCUUGUUUGCAAUUCCAUGGCCUUCAGGACCCCAUGAAGAUCCUGCUGCACUGCAGUAAUGCAGGCUGAGCCGGCUUCCGUUACAGACUGCACGCACUCCUCCAUGUGCUUCAU